RNAcentral lists this long non-coding RNA (17383 nucleotides) under Marmota monax (woodchuck). The record is from RNAcentral. Lineage: Eukaryota; Metazoa; Chordata; Mammalia; Rodentia; Sciuridae.
CAGGUAAGGAACAAUGGCAACACCUGUGGUGAGAUAAUAUGACAGAGGGGAGAGGAGAGGAACUUAGAGUUAUUUUUGAGGUCAAAUUUCUGGGACUUGCUGACCAAAUAAAUAUUAGGAAUGAGAAAGAAUCCAAGGCUUUUUACUGCAACCAGUGACCAGAUACAAUGUCAUUAGCUGAAAAAAGAAUGAUGAGGGGAACUGUGGACUGUUUACACCAUUCAUUCAUUUACUUAAUAAAUAUUUACUCUCCACCUACUUUGUCCCGACUCUGAGCUAGUAAUGUUCAGUAAUGUUCCAGAUGCUUAAUGGGGUCAAUUAACACAAGCAAGGUGAGGAAGGAUACGAGUCACUGAGACACUUAUGCCAGUUUUUGUUUAUUUUUGUUUUGGGGGAUUUUAUUAUUGGUUUUGAUUUAGAUUUUUGAGUGGGUGGGCAGUGUGGGAAGGAGAGAUUGUAGGUGAGGUGGUUUUAAUUGGGGAUGAUGAUGAUCUUGGAAUUGAGGAAGGUGAAGAAUUGUCACUACUAGGGCUGAAUCAGAUGUCAAUAACAAUGUCAGUGUUGCCUUGGAUACCAAUGAACUUGAUAACGUUUUUUGCUGAUGGAUUGUCUAUGAAAGCCUUUGCUUUAAAUAUAAAUGACACACCAUAAGCAGAGUCUCUAGUGAAUACUCCAUAGCAUUGCUACUGUGUGGUCCUGCAGUAGAGCCACAUUGAAUUAUUAGAGGCCCUACAAACUACUUGGUACUAUAAGAAAAUGACUUCCACUCCACAAGACAUUGCUGCAAGGGAAAUGUUAUUGUAAUAGAUAUGGAAACUGGUAGUUUUCUCAUUUUAUUACAUGAAUAAAAUAUUAUUUGGGACAUUUUAAUAGAUGAGGAAUUUCACUGGCAGAAUUGAGAUUCAAACCAAACAUGUGACUCUUCAAACCCAAAGUCAUGCUGUUCCCAGCCUUUUGAGCUUCCUUAUAAACACUCAGCUUAAAAUCCUAAAGUAAUCAACUCACAUAAUUCUUCUGGUGGCUUUGACCUAGAUUCAGUUCUUUGGAAGAAAAAAAAUUGUACUUUUUCUAUUACCAUCAAAUUUUAGCAUAAUCAUAGGCAUUGUCUUUAGUGGGUUUGAAGAUCAAGGAGAACAUGAGCACUUCAACUGGAGAUGCCACAUCUUUGGAAAUUCAAAGGACAUUUAUACUUUUUAACCAAAGUGUACAAUUGACCAUAAUAUUCAAGCUAAAUAAAAAGUUAUAGCAUAAAAUCAUUCGAUGAAAAAUGAUUUUUGUUGUUUUUUAAGCAUGAAAGGUUGACAACAUGGACUUAUUGACUCUCCUUUAUUUUUUCAUAAACACUAAAAGUUAGAAUAAUUAAUCAAAUUAUUCUCCUGGUCUUCUGGGCCAGUUUUUUUCAUCCCUGUCACACCCCUCACCUCUCCAAUAUCUCCUUUCUUCAUUUUUAGCCAACAUACUUGUUUCCUAUAUAUUGAGAAAACAGAACUCCCCAAACUACGAAUUUUAUCUAAAGUGUGUUUAGCUCUGUUGGAUAAGCAUUUGUCCCUGUUUAUCCUAGGGAAUUUGUUUCUGGACACCCCCAGACCACAAAACCCAAUGAUACUGGAAUUCCUUAUGUAAGAUAGCAUCCUAUUUGUACAUAACCUACACAAUCAUCCUGCAAACUUUAAAUAAUUUCUAGACUAUUUUUUAAAUUUUUGUUAGUUAUUGAUGGACCUUUAUUUAUUUAUUUGUUUAUAUGUGGUGCUGAGAAUCAAACCCAGUGCCUCAUACAUGCUAGGCAAGCGCUCUACCACUAAGCCACAAUCCCAGCCCUCUAGAUUAUAUUUAAUAUCUAGUACAAUGUCGAAACUGAGUUCUGUAUGGUGCUGUUAAAAAAUAAUGAAAGGGAGAAAUUGUAUUGCUCAGUAUAGAUGCAAAUCUUUUCAAAUGUCUCCAAUCCAUGGCUGGUUGAAUUCACCAUUUAUUGAAUCCACUAAUGCAGAACCUAUGUUUACAGAGGGCCAACUCUAUACAGGAAGAAGAAAAGGGAGAAGUAUACAAGAUCAAUCUUUAGCUAUUGGGAAAAAUCAUUGGAUGAUGACGGAAAUUAGUAAAUCAAGAAAAAAAAUUAACACAACAUCUAGAUAUAUGGAAAUAAAUAUCUAGUUAGCAGUCAAAACACUUUAAAAAUGCAAACAGUUGCUUCUGAGGAAUACAGCUAGUGGGUCUACAUAUGAAUGGGGAUGCUAUUUUUUUCACCUAAGCCUUUUAGCAUUUUUUCGGAUCUAGGGAGCAAACAAACAAAAACAAAUAAAAUUGUCAAAUGAAAGGCUGUAAGAAAAUACAUGCAAAUUAUAAUUGCUUUAUUAUUAAGGUGUUAUUCUGGAUAGGUACCAUGUUUUUCUCAACUUUUUUCAAUGUUAUGCAAUCCAAACGAUUUACCAAGAAGUCUUCAUAAGGAGUACUUUCUUUUAUAUUUUAUUCAACUUUAGAAACAGUUUAAGUGCCCUUUAAAAAAGUAACACAUUGGUGAGGAAAGGGGAAAGUACUGGAAUUUUUUGUUUGUGUAUAUUAAACCUUAGUGCUAUAGCCAGGGUAAGGGAUUACUCUUAGCUGGGGCCAUUAUUGGACUCAACACAAGAUGAGGGGCCACAGAAGUAUUUAUCAGCAAUAAAGGAGCUGCCAUUUUUAUCAGGAAAUUGACAACACCAAAGAAAGAAAGUACCCAGGAGUGUUGUCAGCACUGGAAAGUGGGUAAAUUGGGGUGAUGAUAGGUCCAGUUUCUUAUCUGCAGAACCAGUGACUAGACCUUAGUCCAUGACAAUUCACCAAAGUGAUUAGAAUCUCUGAGCUGUUUAGGUGGAUAGCAAGAGGACCUCAGAAGGUGGUGCACUGAUACCUCUGAAUGAUAACCCAUCAGAAUGUAUCAACAAGAUAUGUUCUUGACAAGGACAGCUUUGGAAUUCAUGAAAAUGGCUCGGUUUCUGAAUCUCUAAUUUAAAUUUCACAUUAUCUGUACCCCAGAAACAAAGAUGAAGAUGAUAUUUCUUUCAAAGCCUUUGCCUUUGCCUUCUAUAAUUUUCAUAGAUCAUUCUAAUACUAAUAAUGUUGAAUUCUAAUAAUGCUGAAUUCUAAUAAUGUUGAAUUUCAAGCUAAUCACACAGGCCAUAGAUUAAAUGAUUAAAGUGGAUUUCAGUUUUCAAAUGAAAUGUUGUAAUAAAGAAUAGUUUCCUAUUAACAGCCUGAUGCUCAUAUUUUGCCAUUGAUCAGAACAUCUAUAAAAAUUAAAUAUUUGUCAUUCUUAUAAACAAAUGCUACAUAGCAUAAAGACUUUCAGUAUAUAUUAUUAACAUAUUUGAACAAUAAAAUAAUUAGACACAAUGAGCUUCCAGAGAAAAAAGAAUAUUGAUUAAUAAAAAUAAAAUAGGAGGGGUUGGGGCUGUGGCUCAUUGUUCGAGUGCUUGCCUAGCAUGCGUGGUGAGGCACUGGGUUCGAUUCUCAGCACCACAUAUAAAUAAAAUAAAUGUCCAUCAACAACUAAAAAAUUUAAAGAAAAAAAAAUUUUAAAAAUUUAAAAAAGAUAAAAUAGGAUUUUGAAUGGGAAAAUGUUUACAUUAGUUCCCACUCUGAUAUACAUGAGCUUUUUGGUUUUAUUCAAGUCACAUGUCACUUUAUAACCUAAAUGUACUUAUAAGCAAAAUACAGUUUGUACUGUCUCUCUCAAAAUCUCUUAAGGGAUAAAAUAUACACAACUACCCAAAAAGAUUGCUAUAGUGAUUGCUCAAAAUGUUUGAUUAGGCUGGGGUUGUGGCUCAGUGUUAGAGCACUUGACUGGCACAUGUGAGCACUGGGUUCGAUCCUCAGAACCACAGAAAUAAAGAAAUAAAGAAAGAAAGAAAGGAAGGAAGGAAGGAAGGAAGGAAGGAAGGAGGAAGAAAGGUAGGUAUUGUGUCCAUCUACAACUAAAAAAAUUCUUUAAAAAAUGCUUAAUUAUUAGUACAAAAUGAAUCACGUGAGCACAAAGGUAUAAAGCAAAGCUUUAUAUAAUGUAGCUGACAUUGUUAUUAUCCCCCCACCCCCUUCUUGAUUAUUGACAGGGAAUGGUUGAGACAAAGCACCAAGAAGAACCCAGGCAGGGAUAACUGACUGGGCUAUCAAGAGGUCAUUGAAGUCAUGGACCCAGGACAUAGGGUCUUAAAUAUUAGUGCAGGUCAGAGAACAGACAGUGCCAAUGAUGCAGUUCUGCGUGGCCUUCUGCCAGGGCUCUGAGUAAGUGGAAGAGCACUGAGCUGGUGACUCAUUAGCAGUCAAGUUGCUGUAAGUGGGGAACCACCUGUAGUUAAGACAAGUGCCCCAUUGAAUUUAGGAGAACAUGAGAAAACUCAGGAAAGACUGAUCUCUUUGACGCGAGGUGCAAAGUCUUCAGUUCAGGCUCACAUUGCUUUCUAGGAAUUCCUUCUGUCCAUGCCUGUGUCUGGUGAAAACUUCUCUUCCAAGCCUACAUUUUUGGAGGAAACAGGGACCGAGGAAUUGGAGGUCCCUAUAGCUACCUGUACUUAGGUGCUGCCUUCUUAAAAACACUGAGGAAUAUGGAUUACCCUUAAAUGAAAAGUAAGAGGAAAGAAAAGAAGGGAGGAAAGAAGGGAUGGAAGGAGGGGAAGGGAAGAAGAAAGAAAAAUUAUUUCCCUUUAGUUUUGUGUAUAACCCACAGACAGGAAAGGCCCUGGUACUUAGAGUUUUGUCUCAGGUAUACUUAAAUUAUACUUAAAUUCAGUUUUCUAAACCCAAACACUAUCACCAUUCACAGUAUCCAUGUUUCUUUCCCCCAUCUUCUCCAGAGCACUUUCCCUAUCAUGGAAGUUAAAUCCUGAGUAGACAUUAUCAUUACUACUUGAUAGUUUUCUGUCUCUUCUGACUUCACUGUUUUAUCUUUAUUAGCUCACUAGUUCCCUCUGAUCCUCCAACUGGACCUGAAUCAGGCUUCAUUUUCUCCUAUUUUGUUUUUCUAAACUUAAAAUAUUCACACACAAACACAAAGAUUCUGGCUCCUGCCACUCCCUUUUCUUUCUUCUCAUUUCUAAAUUUCCAACAACCUUAGUCCUCCUAUUUUCUCUGUGUUGUCUCAUGGUUUACUGGGGUUGUAGGGCUUCAAAAAAGAAUAAGAGAUAGUACAAGAUUCUUGUCACAUCCUAACACAGUUACAUCCAUUUUCUUUCAGAGCUAGGUAUAUGUUAGUUCAGGACCUCCUAGCUCUGAGGGGCUAGGUUGAGAAAUAAACUGAGAUCUGCUUUAGUUCCUCCUACAUGUGAUCUGAUGUUUGUCUCUAGCAGCCUUUAAAAAUUCUAUCCUUAUUCUGUAUGCUAGGCAUUUUCAUGAUAAUAUGCCUUGAUAUGGUUCUGUUGUAAUUUUGCACCUUUAAGGUUCAAUAAGCCUCUUGUAUUUGGUGUUCCAUUUCAUUCUUUAGAUCUGGGAAAUUUUCUGAUAUUAUUUCAUUGAAAAGAUUGUGCCUUCCUUUGGUUUGUAUCUCCAUGCUUUCAUCUAUCCUGAUAAAUCUUAAAUUUGGUCUUUUCAUGUUAUCUCAUAUUUCUUAGAAGUUCUGUUCAUGGUUUCUUAAAUUUUUUUUUUCUUUUUUUUAAAUUUUUAUUAUUAGUAGUUCAAAACAUUACAUAGCUCUUGACAUAUCAUAUUUUAUACAUUUGAUUCAAGUGGGUUAUGAACUCCCAUUUUUACCCAGUAUACAGAUUGCAGAAUCACAUCAGUUACACAUCCACAUUUUAACAUACUGCCAUACUAGUGUCUGUUGUACUCUGUUGCCUUUAAAAUCUUUUUUCCAUGGUCAACUCUAUUUUCAAGAUUAUAUAUUUUGUCUUCAUGGCCUGAGGUUGUCUUCCAAGUGAUCUAGUCUAUUGCUGGUACUUUCUACCGAAUUUUUAAUUUGGUUUAUUGUUUCCUUCAUUUCAAGAAUUUCUGUUUGUUUUUUCAGAGUUUCUUUAUUGAAGUGAUAUUUUGCUACUGGUAUUUGCUCUCUUAUAUCAUCCUUUACUUUGCAGAUCAGUUUAACUAUGUACAUUCUAAACUCCUUCUCUGACAUCUCUUACACUAUGGUGUCAAUGGAUUCUGUUAUUGGAAUGUGUUGGUUUGCUUGGGGCAAUUUGUUUCCUUGUUUUUUCAUGUUGAUUUUUGUGUCUACCCAUCUAACAGUAUGGAUCUUAGGCGGUAGAAUUUCUACUCUGUAAACUUAUAGUGCCCCUGAAGGUUUCCCGUACCUUACUGUUUAGGGAGAGACAAAUAAUAACAAUGACCAUUACAAACAAUUUUCAGCAUUAAACCAAAUAGUUCCUACUAUGAUAUCUUCAAUGUUAAUUAUCACAAUAAAUAGAAAUGAUAUGAUCAAUUACUGUCUAUAAUAAAAACAGCAAGUUUGCAAAUGGGUUUACAUUUUAAAAUGAUGGACAGGAGAGAACAGAAGUGAUAUAGGAUGUGAUGGUUAUGAGGGAGGAGGAGAGAAGACAGAAGUAUAAGUUUAAAGGAAGAGUGAAACAGAGAACAAGAGAAACAGGUAGGAGAAAACAGGUAGAGAUUGGCUAUUAGCAGAACAAAACAGAGAAUCAAGGGAAACAGGUAGGAGAAAAAAAUAUAUAUAAAGCAAAAAAAAUACAAAAAAAUACAAGACAAAACUAAAAUAUAUUAAUCAAACACAAAAAUUACUAGUUCACAAAAAACUAAUCCAUGUAUAAUAACUGGCUUCAAAAAUAUUAGAGAUGAGAAGGAAAAAAAAUAGGAAACUGUAUAAAUGUCCAUGAACCAUUAAGGUCACAAUUAAAUAGUGAAAAAGAAUUAAGAGAGGGAGAGAGAGAAAGAGAGGGAGGGAGAGAGAGAGAGAGAGAGAGAGAGAGAGAGAGAGAGAGAGAGAGAGAGAGAAGAAAAAAGAAUCUUGAUGAAAACUUAAAGAAUUCUUUCUGUUGGAUUUCAAAAUAUUAUCUGCUUCCCUUCUCACCAGUUUUAGGUGGGUUCUUCUGGAGUGUGAUGCUCCACACUCUGGAUUGCUAGAGUGAGAGAGAUAAUCCCACAGGCGGAGUUUCUGGAAGCAGGGUUUAUGCUUAGGUGGGCUUCAGGCUCUUUGCUGAAUGCUAAUUGAUCUGGAGAUUUUAAAUCAGCACAUCUCCAGUAACCAGUGUUUGCUGGUCCAUGCUGGGAGACUUUACCCCAGGGAUCUCCCUUGGGUUCCACUUGAGUGGUGGGGGACCCAAUUCUUUGUCCCCUAUGUCACCUGCAGACCCCUCUUUUCCUGGUCUUGGGUUAAGUCUUCAAUUUCUUCCAUCCCCAUGCUUCCAAGUUCCCAUUUCUCCAGCCAGUCCUGAAAGCAGUCAGGUUGGAGAGGGAGGGGUAGACUUGGGUGAAUUUCUGAGACCACUUGUCCCCUGUGUAAACCUCUUGCCAGGUUUGAAUUUCUUCUGGGCACUUAAGUACGCACUAUGUCGUUCUGUCGUGCAGUGUGUGUUUACCUGGCCUGUACUUGGGGCCAAACCCAGGUUUGCCAGGAAUGGGUUUUCUCAGUUGCCAGUCCCCACACCACAACUGCAAAAUCGUUCCUUCCUUUGUCCUCCACAUGCCUCAGGAGGGACGGUGGUUUCUUUCCCCAUGGAUGGAUAUGGAGGAGCAAGUCUCUCAGGUCUGUUGGGCAAUGUCCUUGGUCUCUAAAUGCUCUGUACCCAGACAUGCCUCAGGCCUCUCAAAAAUUCAGUUUCCUUUAAUUUGCUUAUCCCUCUGCUAUGCUCAUGGAGGGACACCUCUGGCUGGAGCUUCUGGCUGACUGAGGUAGAGGCUGUGUUGCAAGGAUUUUUUUCUUAUUUUAUUAUGUCCAACCUCCUUUGCCCCUGGUCUGUUUUGAAUGUCUAGUUUUAUGUCUCAGUGAAGUCUUUCCUUUUUUUUUUUUUGUUUUUGUUUUUGUUUACCCAUCUUUCAGAGAAGCCACUGCCUGCUUUUUUGAUUUCACUCCAUGGAGCACCCAGGAAUGUAACUCUAUUCUGCUAUCUUGGAUCUCUCCUCAUUUUAUUUUUUUAGUUAAAAGAAGGAAAAACAUAUAUGAUGCACCCUUUUUAUUUGUCAUAUGACAAACUUAAAUAUAUUUAUCUCUUUUUUUUGCAUUUAUAAGGUCUUGAUUUAACAUCUGAGCAGCCAUCUUAAAUGUCAACUGUCUUUCUUAUGAAGUAAGUUUCACUUUCCAGUAAUUCCUAUUACCUGAACUCCCCACAUCCCCAUUAGUGACCUACCCCAUGGUACCAUAACCCUGCGCCAAUUCCAGAAGGACAGGACCCUUUGCUCUGGAAAGCCCGUGGUGCCAUCAACCUAAGCCAAUCCCAUGCUAUUCCCACCCGCCCAGCUCUGACACAAGCCCCCUGAGCCUCUCCCACAGCACCACAGCUAUGACUCCAAACCCCUACCCCACAAAAGCUGAACCCCCGAACAUCUCAGGCCUCUCUCCUCUCUAUAGAGAGAUGGGCUUUAUUUUUCAGCUUUGACAGAUAAACUUUCAUGUGGAUCUCUGCCUGGUUUCAGUCCUUCAUUUCUUGCUCGCCUGUCUCUUGCUUUCUCUCUUCCCUUUCAGCAUUCAUUCUAUUUUUCCUGUGUGCUUAUCUUCCUUCUUCAUAAUUAAUAUUUUAAACAGUUCCUACAUAAGCUCCUCUUGACUGAUGAUAAAAUUCUUAAUCUUGGAAACAAAUAUUUUAACCUUUAUUUUGCACUUACUUGUGGAAGAUAAUAAGGUUGGUUAAACAAUUAUUUUGUUUAAACAAUUAUUUUCCCUUAGUCCUUUAAGGACUUUAAUUUGCUAUUUUUGUUAUGCAUUUUUGCUGACUCAGGUUCACUAAAGAUUUAUCAGUCUGGGUUUCCCCCCAUUCUGGUGGCUAUUAACAGUGACAGUAGUCUCUAUUGUUAGGAAGAGUAAGUGCAAAGAGCGUAAAUAGAAAUUAUUUGUACUAAUUCACUUUUGUACUCAGAGCAAACUUUAUAUAAUGAAUUUUGGAAAAUAGUCAAAUAUUUUCUCUUCAUAUACCACUCCUCUAUCAUUCUCUACAUUCCCUUAUGCUCUUGAGUUAUUCCUAAUUAACAUAUGCAUCUUUUACUGUUCUUUUACUUUUUCUUUCACUUAUGUACUGCACAUGAAUUCUUUUGAACCUUCUUUAAAAUCAUUAGCUGUGUUCUACUAUAUGUAGCUUAUGAAAUCCAUUACAAUAGGUUUACAUAGAAUAUUUUUGAUUUUCAAAAUUUAUAAUCAAUUCCUUUCCAUAGUUCUCUUUUUCAUUCUCUUUUUUUCAUUUCACCUUAAUGCAACUUUAUAAUAUUCUAUGCUUUAGUAGAAGUUAUUUCUACAUUUAUCUCUUCAAUUUUCUUAGAAACUUUGUUUAAAGUUUGUGUCAACCUCCCCUGAAGUGAAAUUCAUAUUUUUGUUAUACGUAUAGAUGCUCCUCAGCUUACAGUGGAGUAACAUUCUGAUAAACUAAUCAUAAGUUGAAAAUAUCACAAAUCGAAGAUGCUUUUAACACCCUUAGCCUACACAGCAUCCUAGGUUAGCAACACGGUGUGCCAUGUUCGGUUGCUUUCCUUCCUGAUCAUAUCACUGACACUGCCCUACAUCAGAGUGUCAGUUGUACCACAUUAUCACUAGCCUGGGAAAUGAUCAAAAUCAAGUUCUAGUUUCUGGUCUUGUUUUUAUUGAAUGUGUAUUGAUUUUAUACCAUCAUUCAGAAAAUUGCAAAUUAGACCAUUGUGAAUCAGGGAAAUCUAUGUACUUUAGCAUCUGAUUUAUUUCUUUCUUUCCUCCCUCCCUUCCUCCCUCCCUCCCUUCCUUCCUUCCGAACUUAGAGUCACUUUACCACGGAACCACAUUCCCAACCUUUUUUUUUUUGAACUGUCAUAUUUUAUUUUAUUUUUAUUUUUAUUAUUUUGAGACAGGGUCUCAAGAAGUUUCUUAGCCUUGCAAAGUUCCUGAUGCUGGCAUCAAACUUGGAAUCCUCCUGCCUCAGCCCACUGAAUCACUGGAAUUAAAGGCAUGCUCAACCAUGCCUAGCAUCUGAUUUCCGUGUAACAUCUUUCCCGUAUCUCAGUGGGGUUGUUUUCGUUUGAUUGCCUUUCCAUUCAUUUUCCUCUGUGCUAUUCUAUCUCUGCUUAACCAUCAUUAAUUGUUAAGAUUGCAUCAUCUGAGGGCUCCUGCUGAAAGAAACACUGGGGACCACAGACAUGUUUACCAAUCCACUAUGUUCCUGGGUUCAUCUUUUGGCUUCUGAGAUUGGUCUCAUCACAAACCUGGUUCAGAGCUUACUACAGUCCAUUGCUGCAGACAGCAGUUACUUGUCACUUUCUUAAACUCACUGACAAGACCUAGGGAUGUUGUCUUGAAGUUUCGGGUCUUGAGUAAUAAGGCUAACUGCAAGGCGCCAUUUAUUUAUAUCACUUUGUUUUUGCCCUAUUAUCCUUUAAGGACCAAAACUUUAGUUGUCACUUGUCUAUUAUAGAAUUCAAAACUACUGACUUUUGACUUAGAGUUUCUGAUCCAAAGAGGUAUUCUUUAAAGAAUGCUUAUUUCUCUUCAUUUUCUAUUUUAGCUUACCCAUCAUUAUUCCAUAUGUAAUUAUUAAUUUACAACUGUAUGUGCUUAUCAAUGCAACUUUAAGUACAAGAGUAAACUUCUCGUGCCUUUCUGACCAUAAGUUUUCACACCUUGUUUUCUUAUAAAAUAUGAAUUUUUCAAAACAAAAGAAUAAUUAAAAGAACGUCAAGUUAUACAUCACCACUCUGUCUCUAAUAGCUCUAACAACAACAACAUAUAAGAGCCAUAUACACUGGACCUAGCAUUAUACAGAAGACUCUUGGUAUGAGCUGGUAAUGCUGACAUAUUUUGGAGUAAUAGUCACAACUCUUCCUGAACCAACUGAGAAAUAAACCUCAGAGGCAGAUAAGGAUUAAAACAUACAUAGGAAAACCUAAUUGGAACAUGAUUGGAACUUGAUUCACUUUUUUCUAAUUUGUUUAAUCCAAGAGAGCUUAUAGGGUAAACAAGACAUCUAGCAAGCUUGUGGAAUGAACUUCUAAGCACAGAGAAUUAUCCUACACCCUCUGCAAAAGGUCACAUAUGCUCAAGAUUGUGCUUGUCAGCUUUCUAUUGCUAUAGCAAAUCCCUGGUAUAACCAAUUUGUAAAGAGAAAAAAUUUAUUUUUAUUCAGUUCUUGGUCAUUUAGCCCUGUUAUUUUUCAGUCUGUAACAAGGAGCAGCCUUGAUGGCAGGGAGCAUGUGGCAGAGCAAGGCUGCUCAAUUCACUACUAGGACAGAAAGAAAAAGGAAAGGAUUGGGAUCCUACUAUUCCUUUCAAAGACAUACCUCCAAAGGCUUCCCAUUAGAUCUUACUCCUUUUAUCGUUUAGAUAUGAGGUGUCCCUCAAAAACUCAUGUGUGAGACAAUGUAAGAAUGUUCAGAAGUGAAAUGAAUACAUUAUUAUGAGAACUGUAACCUCAUCAGUGGAUUAAUCCACUUAUAUGGAUUAACUGAAUGGUAACUGUAGGCAUGUAGGAUAUGACUAUAGGAAGUAAAUUACUGGGGACUUGCCUUUGUGGGUUAUAUUUUUUCCCUGGUGAGUGGAGCUCUUUUUCCUGGCUGUCAUGAACUGAGUAGCUUUCCUCCUCCACAUCCUUCAGCCAUGAUGUUCUGCCUCACUUUGUGCUCAGAAUUAUAAAGUCAGUCAUCUAUAGACUGAAUCUAUGAAAUUGUGAGCCAAAAUAAUUUUUUUCUCCUUUAAAUUGUUUUUGUGUCUUUGGGUCACAGCAACAAAAUGUUGACUUAAAAGACCCCUUAAAGGUUUUGGUACCUCUCAAUGGUGCCAACCUAAUGAUGAAGUCUUUACCAUAUGACCUUUUGGGGAUACCUAUCCAAACCUUAGCAAAAGCCACCACAUUAUUUAUACCCAACUGGUAAAUGCAAACCAAUGUUUGUCUCUCUUUUUCUCAGGAGAAAAGACAAUGAGAGAGGGAAAUCAACCUGCAAUAUGCUCUUAUUUAUGAAUAUGUCUGUGAAUUAUCUGAAGAGUUUGUGAAAAAUGCAGAUCCAGUCCAACCAGGGUGUGGCCUGAGGUUUUGUACUUCUCACAUGCUCCCAAGUCAGGCAGAUGCUGGUUUUGAGUAGCAACUUCCUAGAGUGGGGCUUUCGAUGUCCAUUCAGGGGAUGCCUAAGGUCACAAAUAUUUUUUCAUAAUACAAAGCCAUUCAGUGGAGUGUUUUGGUGGGUACAUGGCAUAUGUUGGUUAAACCACUAAAGAUAAAAGAUGUGAAAAUCCUAAUAUCUUUUAUAAAGAAAUUUACACACACACACACACACACAUAUAUAUGUGCGUAUAUAUAUAUAUAUAUAUAUAUAUAUAUAUAUAUAUAUAUAUAUAUAUUUUUUUUUUUUUACAAAAAUAAGCCUGACAUGGUGGUGCAUACCCGUAGUUCCAGUAGCUUGGAAGACUGAGGCAAGAGGAUCACAAGUUCAAAGCCAGCCUCAACUUAGAGAGAGCCUAAGCAACUUAGCGAGACCCUGUCUUGGAAAAAAAAAAAAAAGGCUGGAAAUAUGGCUCAGUAUUUGAACUCUUCUGGGUGUAAUCCCUGGUACAUUUUUUGAAAAGAAAAAAAAGAAAGAAAAUCAAAAAAGAAAGAAAGGAAUUCACAGGAAUCUAAAACUAUACCCCUCAUUUCACUAGUUCCUUAUUUUGACAAACAUAAUUAUGUUUAUAAAAAUGUUAUCCAUAUUAGCAUGUAAUGGGUUUAUUUUCAUUACAAAAUAAGAUAAAUAUAUAUUUUCCAGCUCUUAUUUGUAUUAUGGUAAAUAUCAGUAGAUAUAACUCAUAUGGCCAAAGUUUGGGGGAUGCCCAAUCAUUUUUAAAAAGCUUUCCAAGUAUUUGCGAUUCACUGCUUUCUGAUGCAUGGAAGUUUAUUUUUCCUUGGUCAAGACAAACAUAAAGAAAGAGAAAAUAUGUUCUCCUACUUUAAAGCUAUGUUAAGGAAACAUUGAGAGCCCACAUAUUUUAAUAAAACACCUUAGCACAAAGUACUUGUGGACAUUUUUGUAGGAAAAAAUAGAAGAGUUGGCUAUGGGAUCUGCUCUUUUUAAUGGAAUGUCAAUAAACAUCCAGGGAGUUCUUCUUUAAGUGCCUUACUGUUGGGAAAUGACAGAACAAGAAAACAAGUGAGUCUUAAUCCCAAAAUAUGCUACCCUGCCACAAAAGUAGAUGAGUCAGUUUAUCCUUGGCUUCCUUAAAGCCUCAUGUUUUCUCACCCAUCUCAUGGAGAAUAUUUGGGACUGUAUUUUCAUCUAGCAUAGGCCAGUAUUUUCUUUGUUGACAUGCUAUUUCUGUUCUAUGAAUUUCUUUUACUUGGGAAAAUACAUGUGAGGCAAUGCAUCAAAGAAUUCAUUUAUUAACUUUACAUGUGGUAAAAAUAUCAAAUGCUUCUGGAAGCUUCCAGCCAACAUUAUACCACAUGUGCUUAGUUCAACUGCUUCCACCAUGCCUUCACCACCUGAGCUUGAUAAAAGCAUACUGUUGACUCUCUCAUUAAGCUUAUUCUAAUGGAAACACUCAGACAUGGGUUUUGUUUGUUUUUUGGUUUGUUUUCUAUGCCUAUCGAUGCAUUUCACCAUUUUUCAACUUUUCCCAAAUGUUUACUAAUGUGUAAAUUUUGCAUUGGAUGGACCAGUUGAGGUGCUGUUUCCUUCCUUUUCUUAUGCCUCUGGUAUGGUGAGUCAUUACUAAAUUCCCUUUUUAAAUGGAUCUAUUUUAUUUUCUAUCUUAAAGCAGAUUGUAUAAUACUGACCAACUUGAAGCCAAGGAAGCAGGUGCUUGUCAAAGGUCUGUACAGGCCAGUUCUAGUGCUGGAGGCAUGUGCAAUGAGGGACAUAGUCCUUAUUCUCUGUGGAAUGACAAUCUAGCAAGUGCAAGAGGAACACAAAGAUAAGCACACAAAUGGCUUUAAUACUCUCAGGGACCAUAGACACAGGAAGACAUGAAUAAGAAAGAUGUUUUGUUUUUUUUUUUAAUAGUUCACCCAGAGAACAGAGGUAAUGUCUAUUAGAAUAGACAGUCUUCUAAACUGUUUUGAACUUUCCACUUCUUAACAUCAGGCUUUUCUCUAAACUUGGGACCUGAAAUGUCUCAAAUGUAUUUAUUCUUCACAGCCUUAAUGAUUCUCCUUCAAAAUCUUCUAUCACAACAAAGUCAGAGAUAAACUCCUUGAAGCAAAAUUUAAACAGACAUGAAAGAAUUAAAACAAAAUCCUCAACUACUGUAAUGGGUAUUUAAGAAUAUUAAUGAAUUUAUUGUUCAUUUUCUUUGUACACAAUAUUUCACACAGAUCCACACACACACACACACACCCAUCUUCAUAAGAAUCAGUGAAGUCUGUACAACUGUUGUCACUCUUUUGCACAUGAGUAAAUAAGUAGACAAAGUGUCUAACAGGCUGGGAUUUUGGCAUUGCUGUUUUUGAGGAUGUGCUAAAGUGCACAGAAAGUUAGUCCACAGUAAAUGUUCUCAUAGUUUGAUAGAAUAAUUUUAUUAUCAUGCUCAGUCCACAGUAAAUGUUCUCAUAGUUUGAUAGAAUAAUUUUGUUAUCAUGUUCAGUCUAAUAGCUUGCUCUAACUACUAAGAGCCACAGUGAUCACUACUCUUCCAUACUGUAGGGUCGGGCAGGUGAGCCAAGUAUCUCUUAAGAGUUCUCGUUGGAGGAGGAUUUGCUUAAGUUCCAGGAUUUCACAGGCAUUGCAAUAUUUAAUAAGAUAAAUCAGACAGAAUAAUGGAAAUACAACUAAAUAUCAGUUUUGAUUAAUCAUAAAUGUGACAAUUCUGCAAUUAGUACAUAAGCCUAAAUAAGAGAUGUUGACAAUUCUGAUACAGACCAACAUGGAUCUGCAUAGGUGAGUGACAGAAGAGAACAGAAACUUCAAUAAUAGAGUAAGUUAAUUACUUGGCAUUGUAAUUUUUAGGAAUAAUGUCAGAUAAAUUUGCUAACAUCAGACCAAUAAACAUAGACUAUCUUAGUUCAAUAUAUUUUAUUGAGUAUUCUUUGGUGAAUUCUUUGAAUCAAACAUAUUUAAAUUGUCUACCAUAUGCAAGGCACUAGACUAAGGGUAAACAUAACAUGGCAAGCAAAAAUGGGGUGUUAAUCCAGAUUCUUUUUGUUUUAGGUGGCAGCACCCCUAAUUAUACUGGCAUAAACAAAAGGAAAUAUUUUGUUGACAUGGCUGGAUUUAACGAUUCUAAUGAUUUACUGCUCAUUAUUUUAUCCUACUUUUUAUCUGUCUUCACCCGCUCUCACUUUUGGUUGGCUUCUUUCUGAGUCUCUUUCUCUUUGGUGACAUCUCUAGGAUAAAAGUGAAAUCAGCAGAGACUAAAGUAGAUGCUUUUUGAUCUUUCUUCUUGACUCCCAGCUGCUCUAUAUUCCCCAGCUUCCUGCCACAGUCUUAUAUCUGGGUGGGGCCAUAUGGCUUUUUCUGCCAUACGGACUAUAUUUCCUAUGCUGCUUCCAAGUAUGCUGCUUCCAAGAAAAAAGCAAAUAAGGGAGGAUGUGCCUUAACUUCCUUUCUCUUUCUUAUGUCAGUAUUAGCGGCAACAGGUUAAGAAUGGGACAGGAUUGCAGGAUAGAAUAAGGUUGGUUCCCAAAUAACUGCACAGAGCAGCACUGUACCAGCCAUCAACCCAUAAUGGACUAUGACAUGAGCAAAGAAUGCACUCCGUGUGACGCCAUUGAGAAUUUAAGAGUGUUUGUUACAGCAUUCAGCUUUCCUUUUAAAUUGUAGUCCUUAGAUUCCCUGAUCACGGGGCGGGGGGUGGGGGGGGGGAGUGCAUUUAGCUAAUGGUUUGAGCAAAUGUUCCAAGUAAGACUGCAAUGGGCAGAGUUCUUUGCAGAACCAGCUGUUCUGGCCAGGUGUAAGGAGCACUCUUAGUUGCCAAGUUUGAUGUCCAGUGUCCAGAUCUAUGGGGAAAAAAAUAGCUUUGUUCAAACACGCGUACUGAAUUUCCCUGAACAAAUAUAUUUUUAUAUUAGAAGAACAAUGAUAAAGAAAGGUGAUAAGUAAAUAUCAGUAAACACCCACAUACAUAAUUUUUAAAAAAUAGUUUAUCUGUGUUUUGCUUACUUAACAUGUCAAUUCAUGCCUCUCAUUUACCAGAUACUAAGCUGAAAACUGGAGAUAGAGUGGAAAGAAGACCUUCAGAGUUCCUGUUUUGAUAGAGCACGCAUUCUGGUGAAGAAGACAGACACAGAGAGGGAGAGGGGAUCCAGGGAGAAAUGGAAAAAAUAUGGAAAGAAGGAUGGGGAGGCCAAAACAGAUUCUGAGAUAUUGAGUUAUUUUUAUGCAAAAAAAGUUUGUUGUCCGGUAGGACAAUUCUAUCAACAAUCUAAAGCUAAAACUAGAUUUAGGGGAAAAAAUCAUAGUCUCCAGACAUAAUUUGCAUUUUCCAGAGGGUGAACUGACUGGGCUGGAAGCUUUUAGCAGAGACUCUAAUGAGUUAACUUGUCCUUUAAUCAUAUUUUUUAGGUUAUUUAUGGAUUCCCUGAAUAUUUUACAGAUUUAGUAGUGGAGUACAAAUGAGAGGCUUUCUUUAUAUCAUACUGGAAGUUUUCUUCUGUCAAUACCUCCAUCACACUUAGGUUCAACAUACAACAUUUUCCUUAUUUAAUUUUCUAAAAGAAAGUCAUUGAGUAAACUAAUGGAUAAAAUAAUUACCUAUUUAACUAAUGCUUGCUGUCAGACAAGUGUGAGUCUGAACUGCAGAAAAAAAAAACAGGUUAGAAAUUGUAUAGUUAAUUGUAAAUAUGUCUUUAGUAAUUCACAAGUCACUAUUGGCACUUAAUUCCAUAAAGUCACAAGUCAGAAGAAUUCUUUUAGGUUCAACAGUCACUGAAAUGUUUGGACCCAUACUGACAUGGGCCAUUAAAGGUCCGGUGACUUUCGUGGUCAAAUCUGGUAGGGACUGUCCUUAGAGGAUAGUUUUGAACAUGGGCCACAGUCUCACACAACACAGCACCACAGUCGUAUCCUUUCCUACUCACCUCCAUCUAGAAAGAAUGUGAUGACCCCAUUUGGCACCAACAUAGACAGAAAAGGAUUUUGAUGAACUGAUGUUGGGUUCUGAGAUGGGAAGGAAAGGAGCAAAAGCUGGCUCUGGGAAGAGCUACACAGGAAUCCAUGAGCAAAGAUGAGUUUCCUGAACUGUAAAUCAAUAAAGCCUGUUUCCUCUUCUCAUUUGAUGCCUCAAGCUCAUCUGCUCCCAUUUUCAAAGGUCAGCAUUGACAGACUUGGGUCUCUGUGGGGCUUCAGAUGGAGUGAAAGGAAUGUUACCAGCAGGUACAGAUCCUGCCAACUGGGUGGU